AUUGAACGCUGGCGGCAGGCUUAACACAUGCAAGUCGAGCGGAGAUGAGGUGCUUGCACCUUAUCUUAGCGGCGGACGGGUGAGUAAUGCUUAGGAAUCUGCCUAUUAGUGGGGGACAACAUUCCGAAAGGAAUGCUAAUACCGCAUACGUCCUACGGGAGAAAGCAGGGGAUCUUCGGACCUUGCGCUAAUAGAUGAGCCUAAGUCGGAUUAGCUAGUUGGUGGGGUAAAGGCCUACCAAGGCGACGAUCUGUAGCGGGUCUGAGAGGAUGAUCCGCCACACUGGGACUGAGAUACGGCCCAGACUCCUACGGGAGGCAGCAGUGGGGAAUAUUGGACAAUGGGGGGAACCCUGAUCCAGCCAUGCGCGUGUGUGAAGAAGGCCUUAUGGUUGUAAAGCACUUUAAGCGAGGAGGAGGCUACUGAGACUAAUACUCUUGGAUAGUGGACGUUACUCGCAGAAUAAGCACCGGCUAACUCUGUGCCAGCCGCCGCAGUAA
RNAcentral lists this ribosomal RNA (500 nucleotides) under uncultured bacterium. RNAcentral's name for it is "partial 16S ribosomal RNA". It matches the Rfam family "Bacterial small subunit ribosomal RNA", at positions 30 to 523 of the family's 1533-position model. The record is from RNAcentral.